Molecule: long non-coding RNA, 914 nt
Organism: Herpailurus yagouaroundi (jaguarundi)
Lineage: Eukaryota; Metazoa; Chordata; Mammalia; Carnivora; Felidae
Exons: 8
Source: RefSeq, a predicted model, not a curated record
AUUAGAGCUUGAGCACUAUUCAGAGAAGAAGAGAGAUGAGUUAAGGGGUCUUACAGGAAGAAAACAUGGCCAAAGGUCAGGACUGAAGGAAAAGGAGAGUUGCAGGGAAGGACACAACAUGGACUUGAAAUGCUUUUGAAUGUUGCCAAUACUUUGCUACAAAAAGGAGGCCAUCAUCCUUGGAUUGUGUGUUAACUUCAGAUGAGAAACCUGAGGCUCAGAGAGGUUAACUGGUGAUGCACCACAGCCAGCAAGCCUCAAACCUGGAUUCAUGCCCAGGCUCUCUGGCUCCAGUGUCUGUGCUCUUCUUGAUACACCUUGUUUCAGCCUGUCAACCACUUCUGCAGUACAGACACCUGGAAAACUUGAGGCUUGUGCUCACCGCCCAAGUAGCUCUGAAAAUGACCCAAAUUUAAAGAACCACUAAGCACCAUAAUGGAGAAAUAUGUGGAAACUAACUGUAAGAAUGAAUGUUCCGGUGCCCAGAAUGGACAACAUCUGCAGAAAAAGAGAUAGAUGCAUUUGCUAAUCCUGAUGUACUGUUUAAAAGGAGAAAAGAAAAAGAAAGAAUGAAAAAGUGAAAGAAGGAAUAUAAGGCAAAGCUCUGAUAGGUUCUGAGCGUGCCCAGUAGGGAUGAUUUAACACCGCGCUGAUGACUUGCAACAGAAGAUCGUCAUGUGAAAAGGUGAAAUUUAAAAGGCAAGACACCUAAUAAAAUGAAGAAGUUUUGAAAAUCUGCACAGAUCUAGCAAUGAUCAUUUUUAACCCCCAGACAAUAAGAAUAGUUUAGUACAAAGACUAAAUUAUUUAAGGAAAAAGUAGUUUACUCUCUAUUCAUUCAACAAAUAUUUAUUGUUAUCCAUUCAUUUAGCCCUUAUUGAGCAGACAUUCUUUUUUUAUAAAUGUUUAUUUAU